CUACGGGGCGCUGCAGUGGGGAAUAUUGCACAAUGGGGGGAACCCUGAUGCAGCAACGCCGCGUGGAGGAUGACGCAUUUCGGUGUGUAAACUCCUUUUAUAUGUCAAGAAAAUGACGGUAGCAUAUGAAUAAGCACCGGCUAACUCCGUGCCAGCAGCCGCGGUAAUACGGAGGGUGCAAGCGUUACUCGGAAUCACUGGGCGUAAAGGACGCGUAGGCGGGUUGGAAAGUCAGGUGUGAAAUCCUACAGCUUAACUGUAGAACUGCACUUGAAACUUCUAAUCUAGAGGAUGGGAGGGGGAGAUGGAAUUAGUGGUGUAGGGGUAAAAUCCGUAGAUAUCACUAGGAAUACCGAAAGCGAAGGCGAUCUCCUGGAACAUUACUGACGCUAAGGCGUGAAAGCGUGGGGAGCAAACAGGAUUAGAUACCCUCGUAGUC
Molecule: ribosomal RNA, 439 nt
Filed under: uncultured bacterium
Lineage: Bacteria
Description: partial 16S ribosomal RNA
Rfam family: Bacterial small subunit ribosomal RNA
Source: RNAcentral